UACGAAGGGGGCUAGCAUUGCUCGGAAUCACUGGGCGUAAAGGGCGCGUAGGCGGCCAUUCAAGUCGGAGGUGAAAGCCCAGGGCUCAACCCUGGAAUUGCCUUCGAUACUGUCUGGCUAGAGACCGGAAGAGGUAAGUGGAACUGCGAGUGUAGAGGUGAAAUUCGUAGAUAUUCGCAAGAACACCAGUGGCGAAGGCGGCUUACUGGUCCGGUUCUGACGCUGAGGCGCGAAAGCGUGGGGAGCAAACAGG
Molecule: ribosomal RNA, 253 nt
Filed under: uncultured bacterium
Lineage: Bacteria
Description: partial 16S ribosomal RNA
Rfam family: Bacterial small subunit ribosomal RNA
Source: RNAcentral